GAUGAACGCUGGCGGCGUGCUUAACACAUGCAAGUCGAACGGGAUCCAUCAGGCUUUGCUUGGUGGUGAGAGUGGCGAACGGGUGAGUAAUGCGUGACCGACCUGCCCCAUACACCGGAAUAGCUCCUGGAAACGGGUGGUAAUGCCGGAUGCUCCAACUCCUCGCAUGGGGUGUCGGGAAAGAUUUCAUCGGUAUGGGAUGGGGUCGCGUCCUAUCAGGUAGUCGGCGGGGUAACGGCCCACCGAGCCUACGACGGGUAGCCGGCCUGAGAGGGCGACCGGCCACAUUGGGACUGAGAUACGGCCCAGACUCCUACGGGAGGCAGCAGUGGGGAAUAUUGCACAAUGGGCGCAAGCCUGAUGCAGCGACGCCGCGUGCGGGAUGACGGCCUUCGGGUUGUAAACCGCUUUUGAUCGGGAGCAAGCCUUCGGGUGAGUGUACCUUUCGAAUAAGCACCGGCUAACUACGUGCCAGCCGCCGCAGUAA
This 487-nucleotide ribosomal RNA is filed under the name uncultured bacterium. RNAcentral describes it as "partial 16S ribosomal RNA". It matches the Rfam family "Bacterial small subunit ribosomal RNA", at positions 28 to 523 of the family's 1533-position model. The record is from RNAcentral.